AAAUUGAAGAGUUUGAUCAUGGCUCAGAUUGAACGCUGGCGGCAGGCCUAACACAUGCAAGUCGAACGGUAACAGGAAGCAGCUUGCUGCUUUGCUGACGAGUGGCGGACGGGUGAGUAAUGUCUGGGAAACUGCCUGAUGGAGGGGGAUAACUACUGGAAACGGUAGCUAAUACCGCAUAACGUCGCAAGACCAAAGAGGGGGACCUUCGGGCCUCUUGCCAUCGGAUGUGCCCAGAUGGGAUUAGCUAGUAGGUGGGGUAACGGCUCACCUAGGCGACGAUCCCUAGCUGGUCUGAGAGGAUGACCAGCCACACUGGAACUGAGACACGGUCCAGACUCCUACGGGAGGCAGCAGUGGGGAAUAUUGCACAAUGGGCGCAAGCCUGAUGCAGCCAUGCCGCGUGUAUGAAGAAGGCCUUCGGGUUGUAAAGUACUUUCAGCGGGGAGGAAGGCGAUAAGGUUAAUAACCUUGUCGAUUGACGUUACCCGCAGAAGAAGCACCGGCUAACUCCGUGCCAGCAGCCGCGGUAAUACGGAGGGUGCAAGCGUUAAUCGGAAUUACUGGGCGUAAAGCGCACGCAGGCGGUCUGUCAAGUCGGAUGUGAAAUCCCCGGGCUCAACCUGGGAACUGCAUUCGAAACUGGCAGGCUAGAGUCUUGUAGAGGGGGUAGAAUUCCAGGUGUAGCGGUGAAAUGCGUAGAGAUCUGGAGGAAUACCGGUGGCGAAGGCGGCCCCCUGGACAAAGACUGACGCUCAGGUGCGAAAGCGUGGGGAGCAAACAGGAUUAGAUACCCUGGUAGUCCACGCCGUAAACGAUGUCGACUUGGAGGUUGUGCCCUUGAGGCGUGGCUUCCGGAGCUAACGCGUUAAGUCGACCGCCUGGGGAGUACGGCCGCAAGGUUAAAACUCAAAUGAAUUGACGGGGGCCCGCACAAGCGGUGGAGCAUGUGGUUUAAUUCGAUGCAACGCGAAGAACCUUACCUACUCUUGACAUCCAGAGAACUUUCCAGAGAUGGAUUGGUGCCUUCGGGAACUCUGAGACAGGUGCUGCAUGGCUGUCGUCAGCUCGUGUUGUGAAAUGUUGGGUUAAGUCCCGCAACGAGCGCAACCCUUAUCCUUUGUUGCCAGCGGUUAGGCCGGGAACUCAAAGGAGACUGCCAGUGAUAAACUGGAGGAAGGUGGGGAUGACGUCAAGUCAUCAUGGCCCUUACGAGUAGGGCUACACACGUGCUACAAUGGCGCAUACAAAGAGAAGCGACCUCGCGAGAGCAAGCGGACCUCAUAAAGUGCGUCGUAGUCCGGAUUGGAGUCUGCAACUCGACUCCAUGAAGUCGGAAUCGCUAGUAAUCGUGGAUCAGAAUGCCACGGUGAAUACGUUCCCGGGCCUUGUACACACCGCCCGUCACACCAUGGGAGUGGGUUGCAAAAGAAGUAGGUAGCUUAACCUUCGGGAGGGCGCUUACCACUUUGUGAUUCAUGACUGGGGUGAAGUCGUAACAAGGUAACCGUAGGGGAACCUGCGGUUGGAUCACCUCCUUA
Molecule: ribosomal RNA, 1541 nt
Filed under: Enterobacter hormaechei
Lineage: Bacteria; Pseudomonadati; Pseudomonadota; Gammaproteobacteria; Enterobacterales; Enterobacteriaceae
Description: bacterial SSU rRNA
Rfam family: Bacterial small subunit ribosomal RNA
Source: RNAcentral